This 18-nucleotide microRNA is filed under the name Chiloscyllium plagiosum (whitespotted bambooshark). Its description in RNAcentral is "microRNA PC-3p-949062_1". The record is from RNAcentral. Lineage: Eukaryota; Metazoa; Chordata; Chondrichthyes; Orectolobiformes; Hemiscylliidae.
AUGAACCAGUGUCUGAAC